RNAcentral lists this transfer RNA (72 nucleotides) under Nippostrongylus brasiliensis. It matches the Rfam family "tRNA". Rfam says of the family: Transfer RNA (tRNA) molecules are approximately 80 nucleotides in length. Their secondary structure includes four short double-helical elements and three loops (D, anti-codon, and T loops). Further hydrogen bonds mediate the characteristic L-shaped molecular structure. tRNAs have two regions of fundamental functional importance: the anti-codon, which is responsible for specific mRNA codon recognition, and the 3' end, to which the tRNAs corresponding amino acid is attached (by aminoacyl-tRNA synthetases). tRNAs cope with the degeneracy of the genetic code in two manners: having more than one tRNA (with a specific anti-codon) for a particular amino acid; and 'wobble' base-pairing, i.e. permitting non-standard base-pairing at the 3rd anti-codon position. The record is from Rfam by way of RNAcentral. Lineage: Eukaryota; Metazoa; Nematoda; Chromadorea; Rhabditida; Heligmosomidae.
GUCUCAGUAGCAUAGUGGUUAGUGCACAGCCCCGGAUACGGUGAGACGCAGGUUCGAAUCCCGCCUAAGAUG